RNAcentral lists this unclassified non-coding RNA (697 nucleotides) under Photinia schneideriana. Its description in RNAcentral is "partial contains small subunit ribosomal RNA, internal transcribed spacer 1, 5.8S ribosomal RNA, internal transcribed spacer 2, and large subunit ribosomal RNA". Lineage: Eukaryota; Viridiplantae; Streptophyta; Magnoliopsida; Rosales; Rosaceae. The record is from RNAcentral.
CCUUAUCAUUUAGAGGAAGGAGAAGUCGUAACAAGGUUUCCGUAGGUGNACCUGCGGAAGGAUCAUUGUCGAAMNCUGMRCRGCARAMCGNCCCGASAACCGGUWUCMAMRUCGGGKGNACGGYGGNCCUUCGGGCUYGGCGNUCCCCCURUCCCGGGAGCCCGCUCCCGGGCGUACCAACGAACACCGGCGCGUGCUGCGCCAAGGAACACGAACGAACGAGCGCGUUCCCGUCGCCCCGGAAACGGUGCGCGCGCGGGUGCGUCGUCCUCUUCAACGAGUCGAAACGACUCUCGGCAACGGAUAUCUCGGCUCUCGCAUCGAUGAAGAACGUAGCGAAAUGCGAUACUUGGUGUGAAUUGCAGAAUCCCGUGAACCAUCGAGUCUUUGAACGCAAGUUGCGCCCGAAGCCGUCAGGCCGAGGGCACGCCUGCCUGGGCGUCACACGCCGUUGCCCCCCCGCGCCUCCCUCGGGAGCGUCGGGGGGCGGACGAUGGCCUCCCGUGCGUCACCCCGCGCGGCUGGCACAAAUGCCGGGUCCUCGGCGAAGAACGCCACGACAAUCGGUGGUUGUCCAACCUCGGUUGCCCGUUGUGCGCUUUCGUCGCCCCACGAGCGGCCCGCGACGCUCRAUGSUCUGCUUCGGCSGAGCNUUCAACGCGACCCCMGKGCCAGCGGGGUUACCCGCUGAAUUUAA